RNAcentral lists this long non-coding RNA (5067 nucleotides) under Sus scrofa (pig). RNAcentral describes it as "lncRNA (ENSSSCG00005021239.1)". The record is from RNAcentral. Lineage: Eukaryota; Metazoa; Chordata; Mammalia; Artiodactyla; Suidae.
UUUUUUUUAUUACUCAAAUGAAUUUAUCACAUCUGUAGUUGUAUAAUGAUCAUAACAAUCUGAUUUCACAGGAUUUCCAUCCCACAGCCCAAGCACAUCCCCCCACCCCCCAAAACUGUCUCCUCUGGAGACCGUAUGUGUUUCAAUGUCUGUGCAUCAGCAUCUGUUCUGCAAAGAAGUUCAGUCUGUCCUUUUUUCAGAUUCCACAUGUCAGUGGAAGCAUUUGAUGUUGGUGUCUCAUUGUAUGACUGACUUCACUUAGCAUGAUAGUUUCUAGGUCCAUCCAUGUUGCUAAAAAUGCUGGUAUUUCGUUCUUUUUAAUGGCUGAGUAAUAUUCCAUUGUGUGUAUGUACCACCUCUUCUUGAUCCACUCCUCUGUCAAUUUAGGUUGUUUCCAUGUUUUGGCUAUUGUAAAUAGUGCUGCAAUGAACAUUGGAUACAUGUGUCUUUGUGAGUCGUAGUUUCUCUGGAUAGAUGCCCAGGAAUGGGAUUUCUGGAUCAAAUGGUAGUUCUAUGUUUAGUUUUCUGAGGAAUCUCCAUACUGCUUUCCACAGUGGUUUCACCAAUUUACAAUCCCACUGACAGUGUACUAGUGUUCCUUUUUCUCCACACCCUCUCCAGCACUUCUUGUUUGUAGACUUUUGGAUGAUGGCCAUUCUGGCUGGUGUAAGGUGGUACCUCAUCAUGGUUUUGAUUUGCAUUUCUCUGAUAAUGAGUGAUGUUGAACAUCUUUUCAUGUGUUUUUUGGCCAUCUGUAUGUCUUCUUUGGAGAAUUGUCUGUUUAGAUCUUCUGCCCAUUUUUUGAUAGGCUUGUUAAAAUGGACAAAAGAUUUGGACAGGAACUUCACCAAAGAAGAUAGAUGAGAUGUAAAUAAGGAAAUUUUAAAAAUGUUCAUUGUUAUUAGUUAUUUCAUCAUUAUGGAAAUCCAAAUUAAUGAAUACACAAUAAAUUACACAAAAUAAUGAAUACACAAUAUAUUAGAAUGGCUAAAAUUUAAAAGGAAUAAUGCAAGACAGUAGAAACACUCAAGCAUUAAUGGGAAUGCAAAAUGAUAUUGUUUUUCUGAACUAUGGUGUGGAAAUUUAUUUUAAACUUAAAAAUACUUACUGAAUCACCUGGGUUAGCAUUUAUUCUAAGUAUUAAUGCUAAAGAAAUGAAGAUAAGUUCAUAGAAAACCUAAAUAUAAAUGUGUUAAAGUGGCAUUAUUGAUAAUUGACAAGACCUGGAAACAGUCUCAAUGUUCAUUAACAGGUAAAUGGUUAAACAGUGUUAUAUCAUUCAAUCAGGUUAUUGGCUAGCCACAAUGAGAAAAAUUCUCAAAGGCAGUAUACUAGGUGCAAGAAUCCAGACUCAAAAGGUGAUAUCAUCUAUGAUUUACUUGACAUUCUAGAAAAGACACAAAUGUAGGCGCAGCAUGACAGAAUUAUUUGGGAUAUUUGAAAUGUCUGUUAAUUGUCUGUGGUUGUGGUUGUUAGAAACUAUUCAUAUAUAAAAAUAUAAAUACCUAUUCACCAAAAGGUGCUUUUCUUAGUAUGUUUAUUAAUAAUAAUAGUAACCAGUAAUAAUAGUAACACCAAGAUGGAGCUAAAGCAAUAUCACUGGAGAUUAUUUUUAAUAAUUAAAUGUAUUACUCUUCUUUGUUAAAUGUCUUUUAUAAAACAAAUUUUUCAAUAUGGUUAAUAUGCUAAUUAUUCUUUUAGAAAAGGAUACCAACCUAGAAAAAACUUUAUCUUUUAAAAAUGUGGUUGCAAACUAAGAGUGCAUUCCUUGCCCUAUUGUGUUUUGAAAUUCUAAGUUUUAUGCUUCUUCAGAGAAUAAAAUUAUUUGCUACCAAUACUGUAGAAAAAUAAUUUGAAAACUCAUAGUAGUGGGUGAGACAGCAGGUAAUAGAAGUCUUCUUCAUGUAAUGGUGGCCAAAUCAAUAUGGAGUUGAGGUCAUCACAGUCAGUAAUAGGAGCUGAUUCAGAAAGACAGCUACUUACCACCAUAGGUUGAAAUCAGACAGCUGUGUUAUGAUUCUAGGGAUGGCCGAGUCAUUUAUAGCAGUUAUAUUCACACCUUUAAAUGAGAAAAGUGAACUCCACAACCUGAGAUUUAGAGCAGUGGGCGGGGGGAAUUGCAGUACUGCAACUCUUGACUUAAAAGGAAAAGGAAAAACAGGAAAAACGGUAGUAUAUAUUUUAAAUACAUCUUUCAACUUACCUAAAACUGUUAUAAUUAAGAAGAAUGAAUUAAUGUUCAACCUAACAUGUUUAUUCUGCCUUUCUUCAUGGAAAGCUGCUUUAAAAUAGUUUACUAAUGUAUCAAAAAUACUCAAGACAUAAUUAAAUGAUUGUUUCUUUUAUAUUUCAUUCUUUCAAGUUCAGGAAAUUUAAAUAAUGUUAAUAUUUUUAAUAUUUUAAAUUGGUUAAUUAAAAAAAGUACCCUACUUGGAGUUCCCUCAUGGUUCAGUGGGUUAAGUAUCACACAGCGUUGUCAUUGCUGUGGCUCUGGUUGGAGCUGUGGUGCAGGUUCGAUCUUUUGUCCAGGAAUUUCCACAUGCCAGAGGUAUGGAAAAAAGAAAUUGCCCUACUUAAUUUUCUUUCCUUCUUGCAUGACAAUAUCUUGGAGCUUUGGUUACUUUUAGGUCCCUAGUAUUACUUCACCAUCUCCAUUUGAAUAUAUCCUUUUUUACCAAAUUUUGAAAGAAUACUUAUCAUGAAUUUUUCUCCUCAUCCCCAUCAAAUUUUAAAUACCAUUCUUAGAAAACACAAAGUAUUGCUUUCAAUAAAAUUCUAAUUAUUUAUACUUAGAAAGCACUUUUUGCUAUAUUUAGAGUUGAAUGUUAUAGUAUCCUAAGAAAAUUGCUAUCAUAGGGAUUCUGAAGUAAGCUAGACUAGAGGAAGUUAUUGUUUAUUUCUUUCCUUUUUUUGAAGGAAGAUGGGCACCAACAGCAAUGAUACUGGGAAGGAAAAAUCUCAGAUUUGUGAGAUUGAGUAGGUAAAAUACAUAAAAUGUUUGAUUAAAUAGUUGUUCAGGAUGAUUAAGAAGAAUGAGUCAGGAUGACUGCUAUGUUUCAAGUUUGAUUGACCUAGAAGACAAUGCUGUCAUUCAACAAUCAAUAAAAUACAGGAGGUACAGUCUCGGGGGAGAGAAUGAGGUUACAUUUGGAUGAGAAGUAAAUUUUACUCUUGUGAACUAUGCAUUGUUUGCAUUUGUUACAUUAUUUCCAAAGAAAGGUUAUUAAUAUGCAUCAUCUAGCAUUUUGUGCUGUGAGUCCAAAUCCACUCAAAGUCAGAGCUGAAAAAAAUUGGUACUUAAACUCAACAUCUUGUGAUUUAGUUUCUGCCUAUAGAAUACUGCUGUCACCAAAAUAUCACAAGGGAAAUGACAUCUUAUUCUUCAUGAGAAAAUUAAAAAUUUAUCUUAAGAAUAAAAUUUCAAGCUAGUUAAUUUCUUAGCCAGCCACGAUGAUACAAGAUAGAUGACUGAUACUUGUAUUUUCUUCAAUAUGUUAACCAAAGCUCCAAAUAUGGAACAAAAUGAGUUCUUAAAUUUAACACAUUUUGCCAUAAAAUUUGAUCUUUACAGGCUUCUAUUUUAUCUCUAUAUAAUAAUUUAUAAAUAUAUUUAUAAUAUAAACUGGAAUAUUAUCAAAUCGUAUAAAUUCAUUAGCUUUAAGAAAAUGAUGCAAAUGAGGGUGUGUGUGUUCUGUAGUCCUGAAUGUUUAUUUUCUCUCACCUUUUUUUCUUCCUUUCUUUUGUUUCUUUUCUUCUUUUUAGGGCUGCACCUGUGGCAUAUGGAAAUUACUUGGCUAGAGGUCGAAUCAGAACUGCAGCUGCCAGCCACAGCUACAGCCACAGCAAUGCAGGAUCCAAGCCGUGUUUGUGACCUACACCACAGCUCACAGCAACAAUGGAUCCUUAACCCACUGAGUGAGAACAGGGAUUCUAAUCAGAUCCAUAACCCACUGAGCCACAACUGGAACUCUUGUUUCUAUAUUUCAAAUCCCAUCCACCUACAGAAUAUGUUUCACCAAUCAAAAUGAAAGUUUAGCCCAUUAUUCAUAAUUAGAUUUAAAUAAUUUUUACUUAUGUCAGAGUUCAUUGUAACCAGCAUGUUUUGUUUGCUGGUUUUAAUGCACAAAUCUUGACAAAUUCUACCUCGUUUUUAAUAUCAACUAGUAAUUGCUCAUACAUUAAUAUAAAAACAGUCCACAAAGAAGAAAAUAUUUGCAAAAUAUAUAAGUGAUAAAGGACUGCUAUGCAAAACAUAAAAAGAAAUCUAAAUGAUAUGAAAUCAAACCAGGCUGUUUAAAAGUGGGCCAAAGACUUUGAGACACCUCAUAAAAAAUGUAUAGAUGCAAAUAAGCAUAUGAAAAGAUGUUCCACAUCAUCUUGUCUUCAGGGAAAUGCAAAUGAAAACAGCAAUGAGGUACCAUUUAACUCCCAUUAGAGUGGCCAAAAUCCAGAAUACUAACAACACUGAAUGCUGGCAGGGAUAUGGGGCAACAGGAACUCUCAUUUAUUGCUGGUAGGAAUGCAGAAUAGCACAGCCACUUUAGAAACAUAAUGUUUGCUAUAAUCCAACAAUUGCAUUCCUUGAUACUUGCCCAAAGGAGUUGAAAACUCAUGUCCACACAAAAAUCUACAUUCAGACAAAUGUACCACUCUGAUGGGCAGUAUUAAUGAUGAAGAGGCUCUGCAUGUUUGGGUACACAGAAUGUAUUGGAAAUCUCUGUACCUUCCUCUCAAUUUUACUAUUAACUUAAAACUUCUCUAAAUAAUACAGUAUUAAAGAAAGGCGACCUUACCUACAGAAGAGUAGAAUGAAAUUGAAAAAUAUUAAAAAAUAAGUAUAAGAGUUCCCAUUGUGUCACAGUGGAAACGAAUCAGACUAGUAACUAUGAGGUUAUGAGUUUGAUUCCUGGCCUAACUCAGUGGGUUAAGGAUCUGGCAUUGCCAUCAGCUGUGGUGUAGGUUGCAGAUGUGGCUCGGAUCCUGUGAUGCUCUGGCUGUGGCAUAGGCUGGCAGAUGUAGCUCCUAUUCGAUCACACUUGGAGUGUGACCUAAAAACAAACAAAAAAA